Molecule: small nuclear RNA, 161 nt
Organism: Molossus molossus (Pallas's mastiff bat)
Lineage: Eukaryota; Metazoa; Chordata; Mammalia; Chiroptera; Molossidae
Product: U1 spliceosomal RNA
Exons: 1
Source: RefSeq, a predicted model, not a curated record
AUACUUACCUGGCAGGGGAGACACAUGAUCACAAAAGCGGUUUUCCCAGGGCGAGGCUUAUCCAUUGUCCUCCACGGGUGCUGACCCCUGUGAUUUCCCCCAAUGCGGGAAACUCGACUGCAUAAUUUGCGGUCAUGGAAGGCUGCGGUCACGCUCUCCCG